CUGGCAGUAAACGGUGCACGUUUAGUAUGGGAGGAUUCGACCCCUUCCGUGCUGGAGCUAACGCGUUAAACGUGCCGCCUGGGGAGUACGGUCGCAAGAUUAAAACUCAAAGAAAUUGACGGGGGCCCGCACAAGCGGUGGAGUAUGUGGCUUAAUUCGAUGCAACGCGAAGAACCUUACCUGGCCUUGACAUGCAUUUCUAAGUCGGUGAAAGCCGGCGAGUGUAGCAAUACACAACUUGCACAGGUGC
Molecule: ribosomal RNA, 250 nt
Filed under: uncultured Spartobacteria bacterium
Lineage: Bacteria; Pseudomonadati; Verrucomicrobiota; Spartobacteria
Description: partial 16S ribosomal RNA
Rfam family: Bacterial small subunit ribosomal RNA
Source: RNAcentral